Molecule: long non-coding RNA, 2589 nt
Filed under: Brassica rapa (field mustard)
Lineage: Eukaryota; Viridiplantae; Streptophyta; Magnoliopsida; Brassicales; Brassicaceae
Description: long non-coding RNA (BRAP_LNC002040)
Source: RNAcentral
GUUUGUGUGCCUUGUCUCGACGGUGGCGCUGGUGAACGCCGGCGAUCCUUACUUCUACUACACGUGGAACGUGACGUACGGAACCGCCUCGCCUCUCGGAAUCCCUCAACAAGUGAUUCUCAUCAACGGACAGUUCCCAGGUCCUAACCUAAACUCUACAUCUAACAACAAUGUCGUCAUCAAUGUCUUUAACAACCUUGACGAGCCUUUCCUCUUGACCUGGUUAGUAACCAUUUCCUCUCGUUUCUUGUUUACUAAUUACGCGUUUUUGCAUGAGCAUAUUGUUUUGAAGAUCAAAUAAUAUUUUGAACGAUACAAAACAUUUUUUUUCAUUUUAAUACACUUUCUUACAAAGGUCAAACGCCAAAUGCAAAAAUAACUUCUCAAAUCGUUUGAUGUUUUCAUUUUACAAUUUACAAAUCAAUAUUUUUUCCACAUAUUUAAGAUUGGACAUUCGUUUGAAAAUAGAAAAUAUGUCUUGGUUAAGUUAUGUUAUUUUGUUUCUUGGUUUUUAGUUUGAAAAAUUCAUAACUAAAUUUAAAUCAAAAUCUUUUUGGAUCAUUCAAUUAAUUGGUUUAAGAAAAGUUUGUUUUAUCUCCGUUCAGAUAGUAGUUUUUUUAACAGCAAAAGUGUUACAUUAAUUUCACAUAAUGAUAUCUAUAUAUUUAUAUGUAUACAAAUAAAAUAUAAUAUUUUAGUUUGGUUCAGUUUUGAUUUUAGAUUUAUUUUGCAAUAGGUUUGGUUAUAUGGCUACAACUAUACAUGUCUAGUUUUCAUUGUAACUUUUGAUACUGAGUCCUGACUAUUGGUUCGGUGACAUGGCAGGAGUGGUCUCCAGCACAGGAAGAACUCAUGGCAAGAUGGUGUGACUGGGACCUCAUGCCCAAUCCCAGCAGGCACCAACUACACUUACCACUUCCAGCCAAAGGACCAGAUCGGUAGUUACUUCUACUACCCAUCCACCGCUCUCCACCGUUUCUCCGGUGGUUUCGGUGGCCUCCGCGUCAACAGCCGUCUCCUCAUCCCCGUCCCUUACGCUGACCCCGAAGACGACUACACCGUCCUCAUCAACGACUGGUACACCAAGAGCCACACCGCUCUCAAGAACUUCCUCGACAGUGGCCGUACUCUUGGCUCCCCUGACGGCGUUCUCAUCAACGGUAAGUCCGGCAAAGUCGGAGGACAGGACAAGCCACUCUUCACCAUGAAGCCAGGAAAGACAUACAAGUACAGAAUCUGUAACGUUGGAUUCAAAUCCACUCUUAACUUCAGGAUCCAAGGACACAAGAUGAAGCUUGUUGAGAUGGAAGGCUCCCACGUUCUCCAAAACGACUACGACUCACUAGACGUCCACGUCGGACAGUGCUUUGCUGUUCUUGUCACCGCUGACCAAGCGGCUAAGAACUACUACAUGGUUGCAUCCACUAGGUUCCUCAAGAAGGAAGUGAGCACUGUUGGUGUGAUGAGCUACGAAGGUAGCACUGUUCAGCCUUCGAGUGAACUCCCCAAGGCUCCAGUGGGCUGGGCUUGGUCUCUUAACCAGUACAGAUCCUUCAGGUGGAACUUAACCGCAAGCGCGGCUAGACCUAACCCUCAAGGAUCUUACCAUUAUGGAAAGAUCAACAUCACACGUACCAUCAAGCUAGCUAACACCAAGAGUGUGGUGAACGGAAAGGUUAGGUUCGGGUUCAACGGUGUAUCACACGUUGAUACCGAGACUCCCUUGAAGCUUGCUGAGUACUUUGAGAUGUCUGAGAAGGUCUUCAAAUACAAUGUCAUCAAGGACGAACCAGCAGCCAAGGUCACAACACUAACUGUUGAGCCUAAUGUCCUAAACAUCACUUUCCGUACCUUUGUCGAAAUCGUCUUCGAGAACCACGAGAAGAGCAUGCAGUCCUUCCAUUUGGAUGGUUACUCCUUCUUCGCCGUCGCGUAAGCUCCAUUCAUAACCUUAAUUCUACUUCAAAACCCAAUCUAUAAUAUGCAUUUUCACUACAAGAAAACAUGUGGGGAUUCUGACAACCAAAUCCGUCAAAAAUAAGUAUUUCUAACAGAUUUUUGAUGGACUUGGUCAAAUAUUUAAAUCCGUCAAAAUUUUCUGACGAAUGUUUUACAAAAUAUUUUGUCUAUUAGAAUCCCACCUGUUUUUGUAGUAUUCCUUUUAGAUCCUGACAUUUUCUCUAAUGUUUGUUCAACAGUUCGGAGCCAGGAAGAUGGACACCAGAGAAGAGAAAGAACUACAACUUGCUCGAUGCGGUCAGCAGACACACCGUGCAAGUGUACCCUAACUCGUGGUCAGCUAUCCUCUUGACAUUCGACAACGCCGGUAUGUGGAACAUCAGAUCAGAGAACUGGGAGAGAAGAUACUUGGGACAGCAACUGUACGUCAGUGUUCUUUCACCUGAAAAAUCUCUAAGAGACGAGUACAACAUCCCACUUAACACCAACCUUUGCGGCAUCGUCAAGGGCUUGCCCUUACCUACACCCUACACUAUUUAAUUAAACUCACUUUCACAAAGUUUUAUGUAUUUAUAAUUGAAUAUGUAAAAUUAUAUACAUUCCACAAGUGAGUGUAUUAUGUUACUAAUU